RNAcentral lists this long non-coding RNA (3379 nucleotides) under Sus scrofa (pig). RNAcentral's name for it is "lncRNA (ENSSSCG00055030484.1)". The record is from RNAcentral. Lineage: Eukaryota; Metazoa; Chordata; Mammalia; Artiodactyla; Suidae.
UUUCCUUCCUAUAGGAGAAACACACAUAAAAGAGAAAAAGAAAUAAGCAAAUGAGAUAAUUUCAGUGUUUCUUAAUUGCACGAUAGCCCAUAGAUUGAAAAUACAUAGGUUAUUUUCAAAGAUGUGAUGGUAAGUCGAAAUGAUUUUAAAAUUUGAAUUUAUUUGCUGCUGAUGGCUUUUAUGGGAGAGAAUAGACUUGAACAAUUUUAUAGGCUUUGGAGUCUAACAAAGACAUAAAAUGUCAUCUAGUUGGGUUUUUUUUUGGGGGGGGGGAAUCAGCCUUUAAAUUCUCCUUAUGAUUGUUUUUUCUUACUUUAGAGGAACCCACAGUAAUUGAUUUAUAUCAUUUCACAUCUUAUAUCCAUGAGGAGAAAAUGGUGCCCUUCUCUCAAAAGAAGUUUAAAGCUAUGUUUUCCUUUGUCAAAGCAUUUCUAUAUCUGAACACUGUUCUGUCAUCCUCCUGACAAGCAUCACUGUUGUUAUUGAUGUCAGGAGCAGUUGAUGCAAUCCAGUAUGUCCUCUUCAGUGAUCCGCUUUUGCAGCAGAAGACAAAACCUACCAAGUUGAAUAGUAAAUGUAAUUGUUGUUGCCAAAGGUACUGCAUCUACAUGAAAAUUCUCAUGUUCUUAAUAAGGAUGAGAAAGAAAUGAUAUUGUUGAUUGCUUAGGCAGAAUGAGAGGUGCUUAAAAAAUCUUUUAAAAACUUUAAAUAGAAUGCUCUUUAGUCACUUCUCUUUCUACAAAUGAAAAAAUGAUCUAAAAGCAGUAAAUAAAAUUCUUAACAAAAUAGGGCUUUCAAAAGCAGAAUAGUACUUGCCUCUAAUAAUUUCAAAACUAAAGAAAUCCUUUAAAUUUAUGACACUUAGAUGUAGAUGUUUUCUCUCUGCAUACUGUCCAGAAUUUUUAUUAUUAAAUUUACUAAUUAAUAAGGCCAUUUGUAGCUUUUCACCACCUCAAAAGACCUUCCUCUUUUCCUGCUUGAGAAGAUUCAGCAAUGAGGUUAUGAUUUUUUUGGUCACAGUUGUUACCAUAGCAACAGGGAUGCUAUAAAUUGGUUCACACAAAAUUAAAGCUGACCAAAGCCUUGAGGAUAGUUGUGAGUAACUAAAUCGCUGGUGAUAGAAGAUAAAUGUUUGUUUUCUACUGCUUCUGUUUAUUAUUUGUUAAGUGAAGAGUGAAUUAUUUUUAUCCUUAGGUCUAUUAGCAUAACAUUUUUGUUAUAUUUGCAAAAAUUUGAACUCAUCAAAGCUGUUAGAGAAAUGGAAAUUUUACUUAUUCUAAUUAUGUUAAUUCAUCAUCCUUUUACCUCUUUUCUGCAUCAUUGCUUUAUGCUUAAAAGUCAUUCUUUAUUUUCAUGUUUUUGCUUUUAUUCUUCUUAAAUUAGAAAAUACUAUUGAAAAAAGUUUAAAGGGUAAAGAGUGAAAACAAAGUUUCUUUUUAUUUCUCUGUACUCGUUCAGUUCUUUUCCUCAGAGACAACUAUUACAACCAGGUUUUUAUGAGUUUUGGGGGAGAUUUUCUGUGUCCUUACAUUUCUUUUACCUAAAUGGAUUUAUUUAAGAUACACUGCUCUGGCUUUUUUUUGGUUUUGUUUUUGUUUUUUUUGUCUUUUCAGGGCCACACCCCCUGGGAACCUCCAUAUGCUGAGGGAGCGGCCAUAGAAAAGGCAAAAAGACAAAAAUUAAUUAAUUAAUGAAAUGAAAACAUUAGUUUCUCAGGCACAACUAGCCACAUUUCAAAUGCUCAAUAUCACAUGUGGCUAGUGGCUACUGUAUUGGAUGAUGCAGACCCGAACGUUCCUUAAGCUGCACAAAGCCUGAUGUCACCACUCUUGCUGCUUUAAGACCUAAGGCAGAGAACUUGCAGAGGCACAAGGCCAAGAUGUCAAAGAUUAUAAGAGAUUUCCAAUGCUUCACCAAUAAGUGGACAUUUAAAAAAAAAUCUCUUUAUCAGUGGUAAACAUAAAAAUCAGUUCUUGUCACAACUUCCAAUAGCAUGCAUGGCCACCUAGAAUUUUUCUUUUCUCUUUUUUUUAACAUCAUGAAAGGAUUACCACGAUAAGUUUAGUAUAAACAUUCAUCAUUUCGUAUAGAUACAAAAUAAAAGAAAAAACAAAAUUUUUCUUUCUGAUGAGGAUUCUUAGAAUUUACUCUCUUAACAACUUUCAUAUAUACCAUAGCAAUUAAAUUAUAUUUAUGUUGUUAUACCUUAUAUCCCUAAUACUUAUUGACCUUGGGCUGUAUUCUUGAUGUAUAAAUGAAUCUUGAUUUAUUUAACCAUUCCCUGUAAGUAAUCAUUUAGGGAUUUUUCAUGGUUUUGUCUGUUAAAAGCAAUGCUGCAAUAACAACCUUGUACAUAUAUUUUUAUGAUGCUGUCCCAGAAGUGGAGUUGCUGAAAGGUUAUAUAUAUUUUAAGUUUCGAAAAGUCAUCCUCUCAAAAAUUGCACCAAUUUAUAUCCACCAAAACUGUAUCCCCUCAUAUUUACAAAUACUGCAUAUUAUCAAAUUUUUACAUCUCUGUCAGUCCAAGAGGUAGAAAAUUUUCCUUUUAAUUGUUAUAAACAAUCAUGUGGGAGUCCCUUGUGGCUUAGCGAAUUAAGGAUCCAGCAUUGGCACUUUUUUGGUUCUGGUUACAGCUAUGGUAUGGGCUCUACUCCUGGCCUGAGAACUUCCACAUCCUGCAGGCAUGCCCCCCACCCCCCAAAAAAGUGCAAACAAUCAUGUGUAGGUUUUUGUGAGGACAUGACAUUUUCAUUCCUUUGGGUAAAUACCAGGAAGCCCACUAGCUCAGUUGUGUGCCAAGUAUGUUUACUUUUGUGAGAAACCAUCCUAGCUUUUUUUUUUUUUUUUUUUUUUUUNUUUUUUUGAGGGCCACACCUGCAGCAUAUGGAGGGUCCCAGGCUAGGGGUCUAAUCGGAACUGUAGCCACUGGCCUACACCACAGCCACAGCAACACCAGAUCUGAGCCGUGUCUGCAGCCUACACCACAGCUCACAGCAAUGCCAGACCCUCAACCCACUGACCAAGGCCAGGGAUUGAACCCACAACCUCAUGGUUCCUAGUCAGAUUUGUUUCCGCUGCACCAUGACGGGAACUCCCUAUCCUAGCUUUUUUAAUGCUUUAAUUUUUUUAAAUAGAUUUAAAUAUUAUCUGUCUAGAAUUUGUUUUGAUAGCAUUGAAGAUCCCUCUUUUAAAUUUUGCUUUUACAAAUGAUAAUCCGAUGUCUCAACAUCAUUUGUUGAAUAGCCCAUCUUUUUCCCAUUUAUUUAAAUUGUGGCUUUUAUCACGUAAUAAAUUCCCAUUUACGUCUGGCCCCAUUCCUGGAUUUUCCCUUGUUUGUAUUAAAGAACCGAUAUGUCAAGAUAAACCAUAACAUUAAAAA